GAAGCGGGAAGAGCUCAAAUUUGAAAGCUGGCGUCUUCGGCGUCCGCGUUGUAAUCUCGAGACGUGUUUUCCGUGCGGCUCUAUGGACAAGUCCCUUGGAACAGGGCAUCGUAGAGGGUGAAAAUCCCGUACUUGCCAUGGAAGUACCGUGCUUUGUGAUACACGCUCCAAGAGUCGAGUAGUUUGGGAUUGCUGCUCAAAGUGGGUGGUAGACUCCAUCUAAAGCUAAAUAUCGGGGAGAGACCGAUAGCGAACAAGUACCGUGAGGGAAAGAUGAAAAGCACUUUGGAAAGAGAGUUAAAAGUACGUGAAAUUGUCGAAAGGGAAGCACUUGAAGUCAGCCAUGCUGCUUGAGACUCAGCCUGGCUUUUGCUUGGUGUAUUUCUCGGUAGCAAGCCAGCAUUGGUUUGUGUCGUCGGAGAAGCGUAUGGGGAAUGUGGCAUCCUCGGAUGUGUUAUAGCCCUGUGCAGGAUACGACGAC
This 481-nucleotide ribosomal RNA is filed under the name Malassezia restricta. Its description in RNAcentral is "eukaryotic LSU rRNA". It matches the Rfam family "Eukaryotic large subunit ribosomal RNA", at positions 95 to 580 of the family's 3401-position model. Lineage: Eukaryota; Fungi; Basidiomycota; Malasseziomycetes; Malasseziales; Malasseziaceae. The record is from RNAcentral.